This is a long non-coding RNA of Oncorhynchus tshawytscha (Chinook salmon), 451 nucleotides long. Lineage: Eukaryota; Metazoa; Chordata; Actinopteri; Salmoniformes; Salmonidae. The record is from Ensembl.
CCAGACUGAAGCAUUUCGUAUACAUUGAAAAGCUAAUUUCCUUUUCUUAUGUAUUUUACUGCGUCAUUAAGGCUUUUUUAUUUACUUUGCAUAAUGGAGCGCAUUAAGAUACGGAUGUUAGUUCACUCCAUUGCUUUUUCUGUCUCUGUGUUUGUUUCAGGAAAGAAUCUCAUGGCUCCAAGUCCUCACCCUGGUCCUCUGCAGAGAAAGUCCUCAACGGACAGUAUUGAACGGAGAAAGAAAGAGAUGCCAAAGAUCCCCACCACCCCCACCAGUCCCAUGUCCCCCUCCUUCAGCUCAGCAGGGGUUCCCCUGUCCCCUUGCCUGGCCACUGGAGUAACCAUCAGGGACAAGUGCAUCGAGAUGCUGGUUGCUGCUCUACGCACGAUGAUAACUUCAAAGAAUUUGAGACAAACUGUGACUCGUUGGCAGCAGAGAUUGAAGAUCAUAU